UUUAAAAAGCAUAAUGCUCUUAAUUGCUGAGCUAUCCCUCCAGCACCUUGCUUUGUUUUUUGAGACAGGGUAUCCCAGGCUGGCCCCGAUUCUCUUGCUGGGAUUAUAGGCAGGUACUAGGUGUUUUAAAAAUACGGUGAUCUCACUAUGCUGCUCAGGGUAAUUUCCCACUCCUGUGCUCUUAAUGAGUCUCCUGUCUCGUCUUCCAAGUAGUUAAGAGCACACAUUUCACAGGUACUUUGACAAAUGGAGCCGGGGAGACCAGGGGACGGGGGGGGGGCACCAAACCAGAACAUCCAAUGACAGAGCUGCAGUCUCUGUAGCCCUCACAGAGCUACAACCAUUUUCUUAAGUAUUUUCAAAGAAUCUGACCAGCUCUGCAAAAAUCUGUACAGUUUUUAUACCGAAGCUGUUGUUGAGCUAUACUUGAAUUCCUGUUCUUAAUAAAACAAUAGCCUAAACCCCACAAUACUGUUCUCACACCGCCAGUCAUCACGGAAUAGCCAUCUUUCCUAUCCGUUUUCCAUUCCUCUUUUCCCUCCUCCUCGCUGCUUCUGUCCUUGGACCCUCUUCAUGUUUCUCUUUUGGCUCAGCUGUGUUCUGCCCAUCUGGCUAUUUUUGGCUCAUUAUUCAGACCACAUUCCACCCCCUUUUGGAGUAUUCCCAAUGGAGGGGCCUGAAAGUUUGUUCUUUAUCUUUGGACGAUGUUCAGAGCAAAAUGGGAAGAAUAGGGUGGUAGUCUUUUAUGAAGUGUUUUUUUUUUUUUUUUUUUUUUUUUUUUUUUUUUUUUUUUUUCUCAUUACCUUCAGGAGGUAUGUGACUUUUCUCUCUGGCAGAGUGUCAGUUACUUUUCUGUGAAGAGACACCGGGAUCAAAGUGACUUUUAGAAAGCAUUUAGCUGGGGGCUUGCUUGAAGGUGAGUCCAUGGCCAUCAUGGUGGAUAGCAUAGUAGCAGGCAGGCAAACAUGGUGCAGAAGCAGUAGCUGGCAGCUUAACCACAAGUCAAAAGCAUAGACAGGUAACUGACUACAAUGGGGGGGGGGCUUUGAAACCUCCAAGACCACCCCCAGUACCACACCUCCUCCAACAAGGCCACACCUCCUAAUCCUUCCUGAACAGUUCUACUAACUGGGGACCAAACCUUCAAAAACAUGAGCCUAUGUGGGCCAUUCUCAAUCAGACCACCAUGAAUGGUAAGUCUGGUUGUUUUACCUAUUUAUUGCUACGUCUCAACCUUCAGAUUCUCCUUUCAUUUCUUUUUGUAUUUCUUUGCAGGACAUGUGAGGACAUCCUGCCUCCUGACUUGUUAGGCUCUCCUUUACCAUGACAGUGACAGCACUCUCUGGUUGCUCUUUGCCGUGAUGUUCUGCCUUACCCUAGACAGCCCUAAAAAAAGCAGUGAAGCCAGAUUCCUACAGACUGAAACCAGGAGCAGAACCCAUAAAUUUGUACAAUUGGAAUAACAAUCAAAAGGGAAGAAAAUGAGUGAAGAAGCUACUAAGGACGACUGGCAGCUCCUGCCUCAGUGGGCAAUGCAAGCAGCAGAAGGAGCCUGGAAGACGGCUCCGCAGGUAAAGAUGCUGGCUGUGCAAGACUGAUGACUGAGCUCAAUCUCCAUACCCCCCCCCCAUCAAAAACAGAUGUGCUGUAUACCUAUGGCCCUACAGCCCUACAGCAAGACGGGAGGCAGAGACAGGCAAACUGCUCAGGAGCACGAGGCCAGCUAGCCUGGCAUAUGCAGCAAAGCAGCAGAAGCAACAUGCACUUUCGGAACAAGGAAGAAGACACCGAGGCCCUAGUGGGGGGCGAUGGCACCAUAUGCAGGUUUUCUGUUGGAUCUGGCUGAAUGAAGAUGAAGGAUGGUAUCUGGCCCAUCUACCACCCUAGGUCCACCAUGCUGUGUGUCUUCCUGUGUCUGGAGGUGCAUGGCAGAUGCUCUGGAGAGUCAGGGGGGAAAGCAAAAGAGGGAGCCAGGUGUCAUGCCUGGAGAGGCCAUGCUCCACCGAAUGAGGACAGCUGUGACUCGGUUGAUCACUGUGGCAUGGAAACAAGGUCUAGCAUCGUUCAGAUAUGGCUUCUAACUAAAGUGGAUAAUAUUUAUUUUUUAAAUUUUUAAAAAAGAUUUAUUUUAUUUUGAA
Cricetulus griseus (Chinese hamster) is the source of this 2138-nucleotide non-coding RNA. Lineage: Eukaryota; Metazoa; Chordata; Mammalia; Rodentia; Cricetidae. The record is from RefSeq and is a predicted model, not a curated record.